Long non-coding RNA from Anolis carolinensis (green anole), 1616 nucleotides. NCBI's taxonomy places the organism in Eukaryota, Metazoa, Chordata, Lepidosauria, Squamata, Anolidae. The record is from Ensembl.
GAAAUGUUGGGAUAAGCCUAGUUGUUGGAAUAAAGUGGAGACUUCCUCGUGGUUCUGUCAGGAUUUCUGGGGUAAAGCAGAGGAACUACUGGUAUGUAAUCCUGCUGUAACAAAGAUAAGUCUUGUGACACAUUGAAGACUGUUGGGCUAAACUUUGGUGAACUGCAGGCACUCCAUGCUGCGUUACUAAAAAAAACCUGAUACCAAUAUUGUUAUUUUUUAAGAAGCUAUAAUAGUCUUUGUACUUAGUUUUUUAGAAUUUUUUCUGUUUAUUUUCACUAUCUAUGCAUAUCAUGUCACCUGCAAGGUACAAAGUAUCAACACCAGCCAAGGUGUUAAGGUCCACCACAAACUUUGUAUUUUUGUUAUUUGCUUGGAAUAGAGAACAAGUGUGGCAAUGUUGUCAAGCAUCUACAUGAUUAGCAAGCUUUUGACACUAAUGAUUCCCAAGUUAUAUGAAGACUUGGAAGGCUUCCUUAGAAUUAAAUCUUAAAUAAAAAGAUAUGAGAGCAUAUACUUUUUGUGGAAUUGGUUUAAAUUCUGUGCAACUGUUGAACAAUAGGUUAAUGAAUACAGGUCAUGUAACAAAAGGUUAAGUUUUAAAUUAUUUCCAAGUAUUUAAUAACGUUUAUACUAGAAUUCACAAUACCAUUUGGCCACAAGCUUUUAAAAUCGUAUAAUGUAUAUGUAUAAUAUGUGUGUCUAAAAUGUAUUUCAAGGGAACUAGGACUGUACUGCCACCUUGAAAACACAGAAGAGGUUAACAGUGAAGUUGUAUGUUUCACUAUAUCCCAGGUACUUUGGACAAAGCCUUCAAGUCAAUACUCCGGACCCACUUACAACCCUCUUAGUUCAAAGAGCUACAGAAGGGUUGAUUAGCAGUCUAGAUAAAGGAAUAGAUAAAGUGAUGGAAUGGGAAGUGGAUGAAGUGCUAAAAUGGACAAAUGCGCUCAACUAUGAAAACUAUAUAAAAGAAUGGAGGCAGAUUGGAACAAGCAAGGUUUCCGAGGGAUAUCGAGGUUUCCAGUUUUCUGAACGAUCCCAUGAUCUUUCUCAGUUACCACAGAAACUCCAGGAAAUUGUGCAUUCUCGUAUGACUUAGACAAACAAGAACGAGCAAACAUCCUGAAUUGCUUAAGAAUAAUUGUAGUGGAGUAACACACAGUCUCAAUUUCAGUAACAUUAAAAUAAAGCAUUGGGAAAUAAAAAAAUGAGAAAACUGACAUAACUUUCACUCCAUUUCACCUAUUGUUGCCCACCUGCAACUGUGUAAAUGAGUAAGCAUUGCUUCUGCUAUUAUCCUUGAUCUAUAUUUGGAUGAGAGGUUUGUCUUCUUCAUGAAUAUUGCAAAGGAGUAUUCAGCAACCAUGUUUAUCUCCUCUUGUACUAGUAGCUAGAGGCAGGAAGCAUGAUGUUAAUCUUUUAAAUGUUAAUGUCUUUCUACCUUCCACAUAGCCUUGCCAUAUGAAAUUGAUGAAUAACCAGAUUGACGUAACCAAAUCAGAAAAAGAGAAUAAGGAAUAGAAAUAAGACAAAAACAGGUUACCAUUGAUUUGAAUAUGCAAGUAUCUUCUCUGGUCUAGGUUUACUAGUACAAUUAUAGGGUAAAGAAAAGC